This 521-nucleotide ribosomal RNA is filed under the name Tenerella cneius. Its description in RNAcentral is "partial large subunit ribosomal RNA". It matches the Rfam family "Bacterial large subunit ribosomal RNA", at positions 1809 to 2609 of the family's 2925-position model. Lineage: Eukaryota; Metazoa; Arthropoda; Insecta; Phasmatodea; Pseudophasmatidae. The record is from RNAcentral.
AAAAACAUCUUCUCUUGCUUUUAUUUGAGAUAUGACCUGCCCAAUGAUUUUUUAAUGGCCGCGGUAUUUUGACCGUGCAAAGGUAGCAUAAUCAUUAGUUUAUUAAUUGUGGACUGGAAUGAAUGGUUGGACGAGAUAUUCACUGUCUCUUUAUUAUUUAUUGAAUUUAAUUUUUUUGUUAAAAAGCUUAAAUGUUUUUGUAGGACGAGAAGACCCUAUAGAUCUUAAAUUUUUUAUUUGUUAUUUUAUUUGGUUUAUUUAUGUUUAAUUUUUAUAUUAUUUUGGUUGGGGUGACUAGGGGAUAUAAUUAACUCCUUUUAUUAUUAUACAUUUAUAUUUGAUUUUGUGACCUUAUUUUAUUGUUAUAAGAUUUAGAUACCUUAGGGAUAACAGCGUAAUUUUCCUUGAGAGUUCAUAUCGACGGGAUAGAUUGCGACCUCGAUGUUGAAUUAAGAUUAUUUUAUGGUGUAGAAGCUAUAUUAAUAGGUCUGUUCGACCUUUAAAUUCUUACAUGAUCUGAG